This 1882-nucleotide long non-coding RNA is filed under the name Rhinopithecus bieti (black snub-nosed monkey). RNAcentral describes it as "lncRNA (ENSRBIG00000045032.1)". Lineage: Eukaryota; Metazoa; Chordata; Mammalia; Primates; Cercopithecidae. The record is from RNAcentral.
CUAAAAUACUAACAUAACAAACUCUAUUAGUUAUCAAUAGCUGUGUAACAAUCCAUCCCCAAAGCAUAGUGGUUUAAAAAAAUAGGCACUUACUGCUCACAGUUUCUGUAAGUCAGAGCCCUUGGGUGGUUCAGAUGGGUGCCUCUGCCUUAAGGUCUUUCCACAGGCUGCAAUCUGUUUGCUGGCCAGGGCUGCAGUCUCAUCUGAAGGUUCAACUAAAUGGUGAUCUUCUUCCAAGCACAAUCAUAGCUGUUGGCAUUAUUCAGUCUUGUGGAGGCUGCUGUACUGAGCACCUUAGUCCCUGGCUGGCUGUUGGCUGGAAGGCAUUCCCUCAGUUUCUUGACAUGUGUGCCUCUCCAUAGGGCAGUACAUAAAGAGGCAGCUAGUUUCCCCGAGUAAGAGGGAGUGAGGAAAAACGAAACCACAUUCUCUGUGUAACAGCUAUGAUCGUGUAAGACCUUCGGUGUAUUCACUUAGCUCCCUAUGGAAAACUCUUCGAGAAGGAGGCGACUGAGAUCGGUUAGCACUUAAAUCCCUUUCACAGCCCCGGCUCCCAUCGCCCCUCCUAUGGCCUCCUACCUGCAGAGAAGCAGAGCAGGCAUACCCAGUGCCUUAGGCGGGCCAAGCCUAGCACUGUGGGAGCAAAAAACAUGGCUUCAUCGUCAGGGUGAGCUAUGGCCAGAAGGGUCCGGCUUUCGGCUCCCAGCCGUCCUCCCUGCUCCCGACUCUUCACUCGUUCUGAGGAGUUCCAAACCCAGAGGAAGCCCCACGCCCCGACCGCCGCCGCCACACACAAGAGCCACGUUGCUUCCACUAUGGGGUUGAAGCUGAUGGGUGACAGCCAAAGGAGAAAAAGGAAGGAGACUUACAAAGUAAAAACAGAGUGUUCUAGGACCUGCCUCUCAAAGUGACCGCCAUGAACCACCAGCCUCAGCAUGUGAGAUUGCUGAACCUCAGGUGACCCUGCAGAGCAAUGAACAGGGAAUCUCGUUUUCACAGGACUUCCAGAUAAUUCUAGUGCUUGUCAUAGUUUCAGAAACACAGCACUCGAAGAUCAAUUUGAAUAAACUAAAAUAAGAAAAGACGGCAGACAGGGAAGCAAAUGAAGUGUCUUCUGCAGGCUGUUAGCAUGACCUUUUAAGGAUCUUGUUUGUGAUUAAUGAGAGACAUGAGAAGAGACAAGUGAUGUGAAUGAAGAAUCAAAAGGCAUGAUACCUGCACGAUUAGGGAGAUGAUGCACAGACAACACAGAAAGUGGGCAACUGGAAGAAGGAAGAAGAAGAAUGCCAGGACCAUGAUGGACGCAGGAAAGUCAAGGACAGGGUAGGGUGGAGGGCAGCUGAUACGUCGAGAGAGAAUAAGAAAUGGCCUUUUGAACACGUUGAGUAGAAAUUUCCAGGACAGCCUAACCACGGAGGUCUUCAAAUGAUGUCGUGGAAGAUCCAAUGGAGGGAAGGGCAGCAUGCAUUCCUCAUGAAGGGAGGACCAUUCUUUGGGGCUCCACUCUAUUUUCAGUUCCUACAGCAGUAAUGGGCAUAGAACUGGCACUGAAAAAAAAAAAGAAAAAUGUUAAUCAAUGAGGAAGGGACACAUAGUGUGAUGCACAGACCACCUGCCUGCAGGUGCCCUUGGGAGCUUGUUAUAAAUGCAUCUCUAGGACCCACCCAAGCCCUACUUCCCACUCUCUCAGGGUAGACCUUGAAAUACGAACUUUUACCAAGCUAAGAGAUUCUGAGACUUUCUCAAAUUUGAGGCUUUCAAUUAUAAAGACAAAAAAAUCAAAGCAAGGGAGGACUCAAGAUAAAGAAUUUGGAUGAUGUCCACCACUAGGAAAAAGAAGCGUGUAAUGAAGAAAGAGAAGUAAAGUGAACGCAAAAGUGGC